CCCUUAGAUGUCCGGGGCUGCACGCGCGCUACACUGAAGGAAUCAGCGUGCUAAAACCAUUGUCGAAAGGCAUUGGUAAACCCAUUAAAAUCCUACGUGAUUGGGAUCGGGAAUUGCAGUUAUUUCCCUUGAACGAGGAAUUCCCAGUAAGUGUGGGUCAUAAGCUCGCGUUGAUUACGUCCCUGCCCUUUGUACACACCGCCCGUCGCUGCCCGGGACUGAGCCGUUUCGAGAAAAGCGGGGACUGCUGCUGUCGGGGCUUUCGGGCCUUGGCUUCGGUGGAAACCGCUUUAAUCGCAGUGGCUUGAACCGGGCAAAAGUCGUAACA
RNAcentral lists this ribosomal RNA (328 nucleotides) under uncultured eukaryote. RNAcentral describes it as "partial 18S ribosomal RNA". It matches the Rfam family "Eukaryotic small subunit ribosomal RNA", at positions 1470 to 1796 of the family's 1831-position model. The record is from RNAcentral.